Molecule: transfer RNA, 69 nt
Filed under: Lovenula raynerae
Lineage: Eukaryota; Metazoa; Arthropoda; Copepoda; Calanoida; Diaptomidae
Description: tRNA-Leu
Source: RNAcentral
UUUUAAGGUGGCAGAAAUUAUGCAUUAACUUUAAGCGUUAAAUAUAAAGUUUAUCUUUCCUUAAAAUCC